UUGGAGGGCAAGUCUGGUGCCAGCAGCCGCGGUAAUUCCAGCUCCAAUAGCGUAUAUUAAAGUUGUUGCAGUUAAAAAGCUCGUAAUUGAACUUCGGGAUCAAUUGAUUGGUCAUGCCAUUGGUAUGUACCGGUCAUAUUGGUUCUCACCUUCUAAGGAACCAUAAUGUCAUUAAUUUGAUGUUUUGGGGAAUUAGGACUGUUACCUUGAAAAAAUUAGAGUGUUUAAAGCAGGCUAACGCUUGAAUACAUUAGCAUGGAAUAAUGAAAUAGGACAUCGCAUUCUAUUUUGUUGGUUUCUAGGAUCGAUGUAAUGAUUAAUAGGGAUAGUUGGGGGCAUUAGUAUUCAAUUGUCAGAGGUGAAAUUCUUGGAUUUAUUGAAGACUAACUACUGCGAAAGCAUUUGCCAAGGAUAUUUUCAUUAAUCAAGAACGAAAGUUAGGGGAUCGAAGACGAUCAGAUACCGUCGUAGUCUUAACCAUAAACUAUGCCGACUAGGGAUCGGAUGAUGUUGAUUUUUUAAUGACUCAUUCGGCGCCUUACGGGAAAC
RNAcentral lists this ribosomal RNA (549 nucleotides) under uncultured Glomeromycotina. RNAcentral describes it as "SSU rRNA". It matches the Rfam family "Eukaryotic small subunit ribosomal RNA", at positions 548 to 1098 of the family's 1831-position model. The record is from RNAcentral. Lineage: Eukaryota; Fungi; Glomeromycota.